Podarcis lilfordi (Lilford's wall lizard) is the source of this 73-nucleotide non-coding RNA. NCBI's taxonomy places the organism in Eukaryota, Metazoa, Chordata, Lepidosauria, Squamata, Lacertidae. The record is from the annotation of a GenBank genome assembly.
GUAUGUAUAGCUCAGUUGGUAGAGCAUGAGACUCUUAAUCUCAGGGUCAUGGGUUUGAGCCCCAUGUUGGGCA